GUACACUCCUGCGGGAGGCAGCAGUGGGGAAUUUUGGACAAUGGGCGAAAGCCUGAUCCAGCAAUGCCGCGUGUGUGAAGAAGGCCUUCGGGUUGUAAAGCACUUUUGUCCGGAAAGAAAUCCUUGGCUCUAAUACAGUCGGGGGAUGACGGUACCGGAAGAAUAAGCACCGGCUAACUACGUGCCAGCAGCCGCGGUAAUACGUAGGGUGCGAGCGUUAAUCGGAAUUACUGGGCGUAAAGCGUGCGCAGGCGGUUUGCUAAGACCGAUGUGAAAUCCCCGGGCUCAACCUGGGAACUGCAUUGGUGACUGGCAGGCUAGAGUAUGGCAGAGGGGGGUAGAAUUCCACGUGUAGCAGUGAAAUGCGUAGAGAUGUGGAGGAAUACCGAUGGCGAAGGCAGCCCCCUGGGCCAAUACUGACGCUCAUGCACGAAAGCGUGGGGAGCAAACAGGAUUAGAAACCCGGGUAGUCC
RNAcentral lists this ribosomal RNA (473 nucleotides) under uncultured organism. Its description in RNAcentral is "partial 16S ribosomal RNA". It matches the Rfam family "Bacterial small subunit ribosomal RNA", at positions 331 to 796 of the family's 1533-position model. The record is from RNAcentral.